RNAcentral lists this ribosomal RNA (735 nucleotides) under Sabatieria praedatrix. Its description in RNAcentral is "eukaryotic LSU rRNA". It matches the Rfam family "Eukaryotic large subunit ribosomal RNA", at positions 367 to 944 of the family's 3401-position model. The record is from RNAcentral. Lineage: Eukaryota; Metazoa; Nematoda; Chromadorea; Araeolaimida; Comesomatidae.
CAAAGAACUUUGAAGAGAGAGUUCAAGAGGGCGUGAAACCGUUUGGAAGGAAACGGAUAGAGCCGACGAUAGUCGGCGGGAUUCAGUCUGCUGGUCGAGAUUCGAACGGGUUCGCGGACCAAUCGCCGCGGCUCGCGCGAGUUCGCGGCCGGCGGAUGCAUUUCCCGUCGACGCGCGUCGAGGGCGGCGGACGCGCGGAACGAACCCCGGGUUGCCGGCCCCGUUCGCGGGGUGUCCCUCUCGGGCGGAGAUCCGUCGAGUUCGCCGAUCAAACGACGUCGGCCUUCGCGGCGCGGUAGUCGGGCUACUCGGCCGAACGAAUCUGGGCAUCGAGCUCGCUCGGCGUCCUAACCCUCGGUCGGGUGUGUCUGGCGAUCCGAACGGCGUCGGCCUCGGCGUAAAAGUCGGCGACCUAUCCGACCCGUCUUGAAACACGGACCAAGGAGUCUAACGCGUGCGCGAGUCACUGGGCGGCAAACCCAAAGGCGCAAUGAAAGUGAAAGCCGGCUCGAUCGGCCGAUACGGGAGCCUCGUUCCGCGGGGCGCACCGUAGCCCCGUCUCGUCUGCUCGUCAGAGGGGCGGAGGAAGAGCGUACGCGCUGGGACCCGAAAGAUGGUGAACUAUGCCUGAGCAGGACGAAGCCAGAGGAAACUCUGGUGGAGGUCCGAAGCGGUUCUGACGUGCAAAUCGAUCGUCAGACUUGGGUAUAGGGGCGAAAGACUAAUCGAACCAUC